RNAcentral lists this ribosomal RNA (253 nucleotides) under uncultured bacterium. RNAcentral's name for it is "partial 16S ribosomal RNA". It matches the Rfam family "Bacterial small subunit ribosomal RNA", at positions 524 to 776 of the family's 1533-position model. The record is from RNAcentral.
UACGGAGGGAGCGAGCGUUGUUCGGAAUCACUGGGCGUAAAGAGUGCGUAGGCGGUUUAGCAAGUCAGAAGUGAAAGCCCCGGGCUUAACCCGGGAACUGCUUUUGAUACUGCUUUUCUUGAGUUUGGUAGAGGUUGGCGGAAUUCCCAGUGUAGAGGUAAAAUUCGUAGAUAUUGGGAGGAACACCAGUGGCGUAGGCGGCCAACUGGACCAUUACUGACGCUGAGGCACGAAAGCGUGGGGAGCAAACAGG